Molecule: transfer RNA, 73 nt
Filed under: Nanobdellota archaeon
Lineage: Archaea; Nanobdellati; Nanobdellota
Also listed under: 1 other name
Description: tRNA-Val
Rfam family: tRNA
About the family: Transfer RNA (tRNA) molecules are approximately 80 nucleotides in length.
Source: RNAcentral
GGCCUCAUAGUCUAGUGGUCCAAGACGCCUCUUUGACGUGGAGGAGUCGGCAGUUCGAUUCUGCCUGGGGCCA